Molecule: small nucleolar RNA, 132 nt
Organism: Hucho hucho (huchen)
Lineage: Eukaryota; Metazoa; Chordata; Actinopteri; Salmoniformes; Salmonidae
Source: Ensembl
UCCGCCCUUCGAAGCGUUGCAGUCCGACUGUACGUGUUGAGCUUGUGUCUUGAGGGGUGGAGAGUGAAAGGGUUAUGUCUAUGCUGAGGACCCUGAAUGGUGGGUACUUGAAAUGAUCAUAGCUCUGACAUU